Long non-coding RNA from Hippocampus comes (tiger tail seahorse), 1003 nucleotides. RefSeq lists it as uncharacterized. Lineage: Eukaryota; Metazoa; Chordata; Actinopteri; Syngnathiformes; Syngnathidae. The transcript is spliced from 2 exons. The record is from RefSeq and is a predicted model, not a curated record.
AUGACUGCCCUCAUGAAGCUGGCCGCCUCAGUGGCAUGAGGGAAACAGGUAGAGGGCUGGCGGGAACAUGGACGGUUGUCCACUUGGAGAAAAAUCAGCGAGCUGGGAGACAUUAUUGAACAUGCGCAUGCAUGCAGUACAAGACGUGACGAGUGCUUCCUGAUCUUGGCGUGUUAAAUGCGAACAGGAAGUGAGGCCAGGAGGACCCGACAUCAACAGGAAGUUUCCAGGGGAAACCAAUAGCAAACGGGAAACCAAGACGGCGCUGGAUAAAGGUCAGAGUUGGUUGCUGUGGCGACCGGGUAUGUGAUGGAGAGGGACAAUGGGGCUUGGCAGGUGGGCGUGGCACUAAAAACAUACAACGUCCUAGGUGGAGAGUCAAGUUGCAAUUACAACAAUGACCCAAAUGGAACAUUGACAUGUGUUUGACUGUGUAAGAAUAUAUUUUCACGCAUUUCUUGAACUAAAAUUUUUAAACUUUCGACAUGUGCAAUAGUGGAAGUUCUGCUGUAUACCGCUUGUAAAUAUAGAGCUAUCUUCUUUUGGCACUUUUAAAAGCUGACUACUAUCUUUAAUUUCAUCACAUGUCGAAUAUUGAACUUUUAUUUAUACAUCCUUUAUAGCACUCGUGUCAAACUCAAGGCCCAGGGGGCAGAUCAGGCCUGCUAUGUCAUUUUAUGUGGCCCGCAAAAGAAAAUCCUGUGUAUCGACUCGCAUGAUCCUUGCUAAACUCUGUGCAGAAAUGUCAAAUUGUCAUGUGUAAUAAAUAAAGUUGAGAUUUUGCAAUAGCUUUAUUACCCUGUUUACAUUCACUUGAACAAUAAUGGUAAUAAUGGUAUAAACAUAAGUCAGUCAAUCAUAAAUCACAUGAGAACAAGAAUGCAACCAAAUCUGGGGCUUUCAACUUUUCAUGUUUCAUGAAACAAUGACUUGUAAACACGUUGAGUGCACUUCUUAAGCACUGAACCUAAAUAAAUAAACUAUACAUCUAUUACAAAAAAAC